UUUGAAAUGUAGGGAGACAGCUGGAUAAC
This 29-nucleotide non-coding RNA is filed under the name Cricetulus griseus (Chinese hamster). Lineage: Eukaryota; Metazoa; Chordata; Mammalia; Rodentia; Cricetidae. The record is from RNAcentral.